Ipomoea nil (Japanese morning glory) is the source of this 1408-nucleotide long non-coding RNA. RefSeq lists it as uncharacterized. NCBI's taxonomy places the organism in Eukaryota, Viridiplantae, Streptophyta, Magnoliopsida, Solanales, Convolvulaceae. The record is from RefSeq and is a predicted model, not a curated record. The transcript is spliced from 8 exons.
AUAGUCCAGAUGGUGGUGGAGUUGUCUGCAUAUUUUGCCUUUUUAAGCUUCAACAGUUCCUUGUCUGCAUAUUUUGCCUAAACGAAAUCCAUCAUUCAAGCACAGUCAUUCCUAAAUGACUUUAGGUGGAGGGAUGUCUCGUUCUGCUGGAAGUGGCUUCACUCCAGAAACCAUCACUGUGGCGGUAGGAGAAGGCGGACAUCACAACAAAUUAAUGAUAAUGUCAAGUCGUUUUUGCAAAAAGCUAAGAUAGGCCCUAAAGCUGUAUGCAUCUUGCAGUGGCACCGUCAUAUACAAGGUAGGCCGGGGCAGUUUGAAAUAUUAAUUAUCUUUCAUCUCAUCUCUCGGCCUCCUACUUAUUGCUGAGUAAUAGCAGCGGACCUCAGGGCCUAAGAACGGGUAGUCUUAGCAUGCAUUUGUGUUGCUAGUCCAGAUGGUGGUGUCAUAGCAACCAUGCCAGUCCUUCUGUGCAGGUACCGGCCCUUUUUAAUGCUACCUUCAACAGUAAUAUUGGGGCGAUUUCUAGUUAUAUAUGUGUGGCUCCAAGGCAAAUUAAAGAGCAAAUUAAACCCCCAGUGAGUAUAGAAGUAGUUGGAAUCAAACAAUCAGAAAACUCUGGGGAUGGAGUUCUGAGUGAAACUUCACAUUUAAUUAGUAGUUGGAAGCUUAAAGCAUAGAGUGUACGUGUUCUUCUUACAGAUGGAGGCCCUGAGGGCAGUUUGAAAUAUUGUCUCUCUCAUGGCAUGCUCUGCUUCCUGAGUAAUAGCAGCAGUCCUCAGCUCAGGGCUGAUCGAACUUGUAGUAUUGUUGCUGAGUAAUAGCAAGCCCCAAAAAUGUGUCCGGGUUGAAGACAAAGGGUUGUUGUGAUAGUAUAGUCCAGAUGGUCGGUCGUGUCAUAGUCAUAGGUGGUGGAGUUGGCCGGGGGAGUUCACAUAGCAGCCAGUCCUGUCCAGGCAAUGUUGGGGAGCUUGCUUUCUAUGUGUUAGUUGGCUCGAAAUUAAAGCAAUGAUCAAAUCCUGGAUCAGUGAGUAAUGUAUAGAACGAAGGUGCACCAACAACUUUAAACUAACUGCCAGAUCAUGAGUUUUGACAAUUCGAUCUGUGACACAACCAGAAUCUGAUGUAUGUAUAGUAUGCCAUCCUUUAAUUUUAAUUUGCUGUUAAAUCACCUAAGAAAAUUCAGGACGAGCAACUAGCUAGCUAGCUAAGAAGAUUGCUUGAAGAAAGCAUCUCAUUUAAUUUUUCUCUAAACUUGAUGAUUUAGUUUCAUUCAUCAUAUCCUAAUUUCUUAAUUUUCAUUCAUUCAUAUGACACCCAAGUUCUGAUCGAAUAUUAGGAUUGUUGAGUUUGAUUGGUCAAGACAGAUUAUUACACCAACAACUUUAUAGAAAUUCUUUUUUUUGUUUUU